GGAGCAGUGGCAGAGUGGUUGAUCGCGACGGUCUUGAAAACCGUUGUACCGAAAGGUACCGGGGGUUCGAAUCCCUCCUGCUCCG
This 85-nucleotide transfer RNA is filed under the name Planctomycetota bacterium. RNAcentral's name for it is "Planctomycetes bacterium (marine sediment metagenome) tRNA-Ser". It matches the Rfam family "tRNA". Rfam says of the family: Transfer RNA (tRNA) molecules are approximately 80 nucleotides in length. Lineage: Bacteria; Pseudomonadati; Planctomycetota. The record is from RNAcentral. RNAcentral also lists the same sequence under 3 other names.